Long non-coding RNA from Cimex lectularius (bed bug), 665 nucleotides. RefSeq lists it as uncharacterized. The transcript has 6 exons. Lineage: Eukaryota; Metazoa; Arthropoda; Insecta; Hemiptera; Cimicidae. The record is from RefSeq and is a predicted model, not a curated record.
AAAAAUUAUUAUUGUCCAAGUGUAAAAAAAAAGAAUACACAAAAGCAAAAUGGAAUUUUUUUAUAACAUGUCGUUAUAACCAAUUUAUUUGUAAAGUAACUUUUGUAGAAACAGUGGAUAGUCAUUUUAAAAACAUAGUAGGAACGAAAACAAAUGAGAAAGGAAACAAAAUGCUGGUAACCAAAGUGAUAUUAAGCCUAGAAAAGUUUUAAAUGUGCAUAACGUUCAAAGACUCUCAACGUGAACAUUAUUAUACAGAAUGAAAAUUGAUUUUGUGAAGAUUGAGACCUAAGGUUAGAGCAAAUAAUUCGAAUAACCAGGGGGGCGUUUACUGCCCCCUGUGUUACUCUUCUAUCGGUCGGGCGUCAAUGGUGUAAUUUGAUGGAAGGACCACCGCUAAUAAGGGGUCCUUCCAGCCUUGCCCAAGAAAAGCGUCUGGGCGUGGAGACAAAAAAGGUUAGAGCAAAUAAUUCGAAUAACCAGGGGGGCGUUUACUGCCCCCUGUGUUACUCUGUUUGAUGGAAGGAUCACUGCUAAUAAGGGGUCCUUCCUGCCUUGCCCGAGAAGAUCACCUGGCCGUGGGACAAAAAUGGUUAGUUAAGAAAAUUAACUUCGCUUUAAGGGCGCAAAUUAAUGUGUUCUAUAAAUAUAUUUUUGCAAAGUAA